RNAcentral lists this ribosomal RNA (2927 nucleotides) under Klebsiella sp. FDAARGOS_511. RNAcentral's name for it is "23S ribosomal RNA". It matches the Rfam family "Bacterial large subunit ribosomal RNA". The record is from RNAcentral. Lineage: Bacteria; Pseudomonadati; Pseudomonadota; Gammaproteobacteria; Enterobacterales; Enterobacteriaceae.
GGGUUGUGAGGUUAAGCGACUAAGCGUACACGGUGGAUGCCCUGGCAGUCAGAGGCGAUGAAGGACGUGCUAAUCUGCGAAAAGCGUCGGUAAGGUGAUAUGAACCGUUACAGCCGGCGAUGUCCGAAUGGGGAAACCCAGUGCAAUUCGUUGCACUAUCGUUUGAUGAAUACAUAGUCAAACGAGGCGAACCGGGGGAACUGAAACAUCUAAGUACCCCGAGGAAAAGAAAUCAACCGAGAUUCCCCCAGUAGCGGCGAGCGAACGGGGAGCAGCCCGGAGUCUGAAUCAGCUUGUGUGUUAGUGGAAGCGUCUGGAAAGUCGCAGGGUACAGGGUGAUACUCCCGUACACUAAAACACACAGGCUGUGAACUCGAAGAGUAGGGCGGGACACGUGGUAUCCUGUCUGAAUAUGGGGGGACCAUCCUCCAAGGCUAAAUACUCCUGACUGACCGAUAGUGAACCAGUACCGUGAGGGAAAGGCGAAAAGAACCCCGGCGAGGGGAGUGAAAAAGAACCUGAAACCGUGUACGUACAAGCAGUAGGAGCCCACUUGUUGGGUGACUGCGUACCUUUUGUAUAAUGGGUCAGCGACUUAUAUUCUGUAGCAAGGUUAACCGUAUAGGGGAGCCGCAGGGAAACCGAGUCUUAACUGGGCGUUAAGUUGCAGGGUAUAGACCCGAAACCCGGUGAUCUAGCCAUGGGCAGGUUGAAGGUUGGGUAACACUAACUGGAGGACCGAACCGACUAAUGUUGAAAAAUUAGCGGAUGACUUGUGGCUGGGGGUGAAAGGCCAAUCAAACCGGGAGAUAGCUGGUUCUCCCCGAAAGCUAUUUAGGUAGCGCCUCGUGAACUCAUCUUCGGGGGUAGAGCACUGUUUCGGCUAGGGGGUCAUCCCGACUUACCAACCCGAUGCAAACUACGAAUACCGAAGAAUGUUAUCACGGGAGACACACGGCGGGUGCUAACGUCCGUCGUGAAGAGGGAAACAACCCAGACCGCCAGCUAAGGUCCCAAAGUCAUGGUUAAGUGGGAAACGAUGUGGGAAGGCCCAGACAGCCAGGAUGUUGGCUUAGAAGCAGCCAUCAUUUAAAGAAAGCGUAAUAGCUCACUGGUCGAGUCGGCCUGCGCGGAAGAUGUAACGGGGCUAAACCAUGCACCGAAGCUGCGGCAGCGACACUAUGUGUUGUUGGGUAGGGGAGCGUUCUGUAAGCCGUUGAAGGUGGCCUGUGAGGGUUGCUGGAGGUAUCAGAAGUGCGAAUGCUGACAUAAGUAACGAUAAUGCGGGUGAAAAACCCGCACGCCGGAAGACCAAGGGUUCCUGUCCAACGUUAAUCGGGGCAGGGUGAGUCGACCCCUAAGGCGAGGCCGAAAGGCGUAGUCGAUGGGAAACAGGUUAAUAUUCCUGUACUUGGUGUUACUGCGAAGGGGGGACGGAGAAGGCUAUGUUGGCCGGGCGACGGUUGUCCCGGUUUAAGCGUGUAGGUGUGUGUUCCAGGUAAAUCCGGUUCACUUUAACACUGAGGCGUGAUGACGAGGCACUACGGUGCUGAAGUGACAAAUGCCCUGCUUCCAGGAAAAGCCUCUAAGCAUCAGGUAACAUCAAAUCGUACCCCAAACCGACACAGGUGGUCAGGUAGAGAAUACCAAGGCGCUUGAGAGAACUCGGGUGAAGGAACUAGGCAAAAUGGUGCCGUAACUUCGGGAGAAGGCACGCUGAUAUGUAGGUGAAGUGAUUUACUCAUGGAGCUGAAAUCAGUCGAAGAUACCAGCUGGCUGCAACUGUUUAUUAAAAACACAGCACUGUGCAAACACGAAAGUGGACGUAUACGGUGUGACGCCUGCCCGGUGCCGGAAGGUUAAUUGAUGGGGUUAUCCGUAAGGAGAAGCUCUUGAUCGAAGCCCCGGUAAACGGCGGCCGUAACUAUAACGGUCCUAAGGUAGCGAAAUUCCUUGUCGGGUAAGUUCCGACCUGCACGAAUGGCGUAAUGAUGGCCAGGCUGUCUCCACCCGAGACUCAGUGAAAUUGAACUCGCUGUGAAGAUGCAGUGUACCCGCGGCAAGACGGAAAGACCCCGUGAACCUUUACUAUAGCUUGACACUGAACACUGGUCCUUGAUGUGUAGGAUAGGUGGGAGGCUUUGAAGCGUGGACGCCAGUCUGCGUGGAGCCAUCCUUGAAAUACCACCCUUUAAUGGCUGGUGUUCUAACGUGGGCCCGUAAUCCGGGUUGCGGACAGUGUCUGGUGGGUAGUUUGACUGGGGCGGUCUCCUCCUAAAGAGUAACGGAGGAGCACGAAGGUCAGCUAAUCCUGGUCGGACAUCAGGAGGUUAGUGCAAUGGCAUAAGCUGGCUUGACUGCGAGCGUGACGGCGCGAGCAGGUGCGAAAGCAGGUCAUAGUGAUCCGGUGGUUCUGAAUGGAAGGGCCAUCGCUCAACGGAUAAAAGGUACUCCGGGGAUAACAGGCUGAUACCGCCCAAGAGUUCAUAUCGACGGCGGUGUUUGGCACCUCGAUGUCGGCUCAUCACAUCCUGGGGCUGAAGUAGGUCCCAAGGGUAUGGCUGUUCGCCAUUUAAAGUGGUACGCGAGCUGGGUUUAGAACGUCGUGAGACAGUUCGGUCCCUAUCUGCCGUGGGCGCUGGAGAAUUGAGGGGGGCUGCUCCUAGUACGAGAGGACCGGAGUGGACGCAUCACUGGUGUUCGGGUUGUCAUGCCAAUGGCAUUGCCCGGUAGCUAAAUGCGGAAGAGAUAAGUGCUGAAAGCAUCUAAGUACGAAACUUGCCCCGAGAUGAGUUCUCCCUGACUCCUUGAGAGUCCUGAAGGAACGUUGAAGACGACGACGUUGAUAGGCCGGGUGUGUAAGCGCAGCGAUGCGUUGAGCUAACCGGUACUAAUGAACCGUGAGGCUUAACCUUACAACGCCGAAG